AAACGACUCUCGGCAACGGAUAUCCCGGCUCUCGCAUCGAUGAAGAACGUAGCGAAAUGCGAUACUUGGUGUGAAUUGCAGAAUCCCGUGAACCAUCGAGUCUUUGAACGCAAGUUGCGCCCGAAGCCAUUAGGCUGAGGGCNCGUCUGCCUGGGUGUCACGC
This 163-nucleotide ribosomal RNA is filed under the name Ligusticum porteri. RNAcentral describes it as "5.8S ribosomal RNA". It matches the Rfam family "5.8S ribosomal RNA". From Rfam's summary of the family: 5.8S ribosomal RNA (5.8S rRNA) is a component of the large subunit of the eukaryotic ribosome. It is transcribed by RNA polymerase I as part of the 45S precursor that also contains 18S and 28S rRNA. Functionally, it is thought that 5.8S rRNA may be involved in ribosome translocation. The record is from RNAcentral. Lineage: Eukaryota; Viridiplantae; Streptophyta; Magnoliopsida; Apiales; Apiaceae.